This 3526-nucleotide long non-coding RNA is filed under the name Salmo salar (Atlantic salmon). RNAcentral's name for it is "lncRNA (ENSSSAG00000083107.1, ENSSSAG00000102719.1)". The record is from RNAcentral. Lineage: Eukaryota; Metazoa; Chordata; Actinopteri; Salmoniformes; Salmonidae.
GGGAGGGGGAGGGAGGAGGGCUCCUGGUAGCUUCUUGUAGGCAGUGUGUAGUGUAGGGUUGGUGCUGGCUGAAGGGUGGAGACUGAGCAGCAGCGGGGAGGGCGUAUGUCAGCUGGAUCAGCAAGAGAGAGCAGCCAGAGCAGAGCAGGAGAGAGGGAGCCACAGCACAGCACAGUGAGAGAGUGUGUGUGUAUGAGCGCGCCUGCCUGCCUUCCUGCUAGCCUGCCUGACUGUGUGAGUGUGUGUGUGAGAGGGAGAGUCAGUAAGCGUGUGGAUACUACUCCACCAGCCUGCAUGUCUCUGGCGUCACUAGGGGAGCAGCACGCACAUUACAGAGAGUAGGGCUGAACCAGAGUUCUGACAGAACUGCAGGCCAGAAGGACACCAGGACAGUGUGCGGCGGAGUGAGCAGACAAGACAGACAGACAGACUACACAAGGCCUAGCUCAGAAGCCCUAUCAUGGCGUCCAACAACACAGCAUGCAUCGCCCAGGCCAGGAAACUGGUAGAGCAGCUGAAGAUGGAGGCCAACAUCGACAGGAUAAAGGUGUCCAAAGCAGCAGCAGACUUAAUGUCAUACUGCGAAGCCCAUGCCAAAGAGGACCCCCUCCUGUCGCCAGUGCCCGCAUCCGAAAACCCUUUUAGGGAGAAGAAGUUCUUCUGUGUCAUCCUGUAAACAGGAUGUGGUUUAUUUGGUCUGCUCAUCUUGGGACAUGAACGAGGACGUUCAAUAGGUAGACAUCUUCUAACAGGAGGGCUUGGUGAAGUACUAGUGCCCCUUUCUCUACAAUGGCACCUAAAGAGUGCAAUUAAAAACCACAGAGUAACACGUAACCAUUUACAGCGGUUAAGGGGUGUGCAGCAUGUUUGAUGGAUCCAUCUGUGUAGUCAGAUUACAACAGAAGAUAAGUAUGGUUAUCCACCCAAAAAACAUGAUGGACAACCAAUCAACCAAGUCUUCAGGUUGUGUUGGGUUUUUUAAAAUGAAGGAUAAAACAACAACAAAAUAUUGUGUGGUUCUUUUGGAACUUGAAAUCCAAGUGUUAUGUUCAAUGGUUUGUGGUGGGUUGGGUAGGGUAGGUGUGCUGGCUAACUGAGCUGCUUACCACGAGAUAUUACCACCUGUUUAUCUGAAUGUUUUGAUUUUUGUUGUUUAUCUCAUGUUGAUUUUGAUUCAUUGGUUUAGGUUCAUUGGUUUGGCUAUAUCACUUAGAUAUCUUUGUAUUAUUGUACAGUACUAGUCAAAAGUUUGGACACACCUACUCAUUCAAGGGUUUUUAUUUAUUUUAAAUAUUUUCUACAUUGUAGAAUAAUAGUGAAGACAUCAAAACUAUGAAAUAACACAAAUGGAAUCAUGUAGUAACCAAAAAGUGUUAAACAAAUCAAAAUAUAUUUUAUAUUUGAGAUUCUUCAAAGUAGCCACCCUUUGCCUUGAUGACAGCUUUGCACACUCUUGGCAUUCUCUCAACCAGCUUCACCUGGAAUGCUUUUCAAACAGUCUUGAAGGAGUUCCCAAAUAUGCUGAGCACUUGUUGGCUGCUUUUCCUUCCCCAAAGCAAGUCUCUUCUUAUUAUUGGUGUUCUUUAGUAGUGGUUUCUUUGCAGCAAUUCGACCAUGAAGGCCUGAUUCACGUAGUCUCCUCUGAACAGUUGAUGUUGAGAUGUAUCUGUUACUUGAACUCUGUGAAGCAUGUAUUAGGGCUCCAAUUUCUGAGGCUGGUAACUCAAAUGAACUUAUCCUCUGCAGCAGAGGUAACUCUGGGUCUUCCUUUCCUGUGGCGGUCCUCAUGAGAGCCAGUUUCAUCAUAGCGCUUGAUGGUUUUUGCGACUGCACUUGAAGAAACUUUCAAAGUUCUUAAAAUGUUCCGGAUUGAUUGACCUUCAUGUCUUAAAGUAAUGAUGGACUGUCGUUUCUUAUUGCUUAUUCGAGCUGUUCUUGCCAUAAUAUGGACUUGGUCAUUUACCAAAUAGGGCUACCCCCCUACCUUGUCAUAUCACAACUGAUUGGCUCAAUCGCUUUAAAAAGGAAAGAAAUUCCACAAAUUAACUUUUAACAAGGCACACCUGUCAAUUGAAAUGCAUUCCAGGUGACUACCUCAUGAAGUUGGUUGAGAGAAUGCCAAGAGUGUGCAAAGCUGUCAUCAAGGCAAAGUGUGGCUACUUUGAAGAAUCUCAAAUAUAAAAUAUAUUUUGAUUUGUUUAACCCUUUUAUGUUACCACAUGAUUCCAUAUGUGUUAUUUCAUAGUUUAGAUGUCUUCACUAUUAUUUUACAAUGUAGAAAAUAGUAAAAGUAAAGAAAAACUGGAGUGAGUAUGUGUGUCCAACCUUUUGACUGGUACUGUAUGUGAUUACUGAAACGGCUGUUUAAACUUUUAUUUUUUUACAUCGGAGUUGGUGAAAGCUUUUUAAUGGGAAGUUUGAACAUUCAAUUCAGUGAUAUUCUUUACAGACAUGUUUCUUUAAACUUCUGAGAAUAGUUUUUUCUUCAGUAUCUAAACAUAUAUCUGGCAAUGUGAUACGGUAUUUGUUUCCUUUCAGAUACAAGCUCUCUUUUUACUCUUUGUAUAAAAAUGCUAGCAAGUAAACUGUGUUGUGCUGUGCGUUCUGAAUGUUUGUGUUGAUAUCACUAAUAAUUGCAUGAAAUUAUCAAACAACAAUUUUUUCUUUUGUUUUAAUGUGGAGAUUGUAUGAACAAGGCAGCCUCCGUCUGGUAGUGCCAACUGUAUUAAAAUUAUAGUAAUGAUUCAACAUAGACUCCAUAAAGACAUCUCUGUCAUGGGAAAAACUGAAGUGACGUAACUGAGCUGCAAGCCGAUGAGGAAUUUCACAAUUGGUUAACAUUAGAUUAAGGUUACGGUUAAUGUUAGGCUUAGGGGUAAAGUUAGGGUUAGAUUACAUUUUUGAGUUUAGAAUAGGGUCAGUUUUAGGUUUUGACUAGCUGGGCUGUUAAUGGGAUGCUGGUCAGAAAAGUCCCUUAAGUUUAGUAUUUUGGGGUUUGGGUCAGGGUUAGUGUUUUAGGGGGUGGAUAUGUACAGCACUUUGAACAUUAAGCUACUAGUUGAAGUAUUAGACAGCGAUGACCAUUUACAUUCACAUGCCCCAGAUCAUGAGGGUUAUUCAUAAAACUAUAUCAAAUGUAUCGAUCACCCAUUCGAGUUGAAAGGAGGAAUCCAGUAGAUAUCCCAGACUGCGCAGAAUCUAUAAUAGGUGACUGAUAAUUGCUGUACCAUCGUUUUGGUUGAGUACCUGUUCCCUUCAUCACAAAACAAGAGGUAGGCCUACACAUAUUAUGAGGUCCAUUCAUAUUUAUAAUCUUGGCAAUUGUCCACAUGCCUAAAUAAAUGAAGGAAGUUGCACAUAAGAAGUGAUUCUUUUUUUAAAUUCACUGCAGUAUUGCAGAAACGUGUUGUGUGUUACUAAAUACUCAAACAGAACGGUAGAAAAGGAGAAUGAUGAUCGUCUUGGAGUGGAGAUGGCGGUCCAUGAAUUCUAACACAAUCGUUCACAUUUGUCUAGUUCAACCAGU